RNAcentral lists this ribosomal RNA (519 nucleotides) under uncultured eukaryote. RNAcentral's name for it is "bacterial SSU rRNA". It matches the Rfam family "Eukaryotic small subunit ribosomal RNA", at positions 1161 to 1701 of the family's 1831-position model. The record is from RNAcentral.
AGGGCACCACCAGGAGUGGAGCCUGCGGCUUAAUUUGACUCAACACGGGGAAACUCACCCGGCCCGGACACCGGAAGGAUUGACAGAUUGAUAGCUCUUUCUUGAUUCGGUGGAUGGUGGUGCAUGGCCGUUCUUAGUUGGUGGAGCGAUCUGUCUGGUUAAUUCCGAUAACGAACGAGACUCUAGCCUAUUAAAUAGACGUCGGGUUCUCUGCACUCGACGGUCUUCUUAGAGGGACAAGGUGCUUUUAGCACCGCGAAACAGAGCAAUAACAGGUCUGUGAUGCCCUUAGAUGUCCGGGGCCGCACGCGCGCUACACUGAAGUGAUCAGCGUGCAUUUUCAGCCUACUCUGCCAAGAGUGGGAAACCCAAUGAACCUUCUUCGUGAUUGGGAUAGGAGAUUGUAAUUAUUCUCCUUGAACGAGGAAUUCCCAGUAAGCGCGAGUCAUAAGCUCGCGUUGAUUACGUCCCUGCCCUUUGUACACACCGCCCGUCGCUACUACCGAUUGAAUGUUUUAG